RNAcentral lists this unclassified non-coding RNA (358 nucleotides) under soil metagenome. RNAcentral describes it as "partial contains 5.8S ribosomal RNA, internal transcribed spacer 2, and large subunit ribosomal RNA". The stretch from base 1 to 120 matches the Rfam family "5.8S ribosomal RNA", at positions 35 to 154 of the family's 154-position model. The record is from RNAcentral.
GAUGAAGAACGCAGUGAAAUGCGAUAAGUAAUGUGAAUUGCAGAAUUCAGUGAAUCAUCGAAUCUUUGAACGCACAUUGCGCCCGUCAGUAUUCUGGCGGGCAUGUCUGUUCGAGCGUCAUUACGCCCCUCAAGUCCCCUGUGGACUUGGUGUUGGGGAUCGGCGAGGCUGGUUUUCCAGCACAGCCGUCCCUUAAAUUAAUUGGCGGUCUCGCCGUGGCCCUCCUCUGCGCAGUAGUAAAACACUCGCAACAGGAGCCCGGCGCGGUCCACUGCCGUAAAACCCCCCAACUUUUUAUAGUUGACCUCGAAUCAGGUAGGACUACCCGCUGAACUUAAGCAUAUCAAUAAGCGGAGGA